This 419-nucleotide ribosomal RNA is filed under the name bacterium. RNAcentral describes it as "partial 16S ribosomal RNA". It matches the Rfam family "Bacterial small subunit ribosomal RNA", at positions 355 to 776 of the family's 1533-position model. The record is from RNAcentral.
UGGGGGAUAUUGCACAAUGGGCGAAAGCCUGAUGCAGCGACGCCGCGUGGGGGAUGAAGGCCUUCGGGUUGUAAACUUCUUUUGCUCUGAACAAGGCGCACCAUGGGGUGUGUUGAGUGUAGGGGUUGAUUAGCGCCGGCUAACUACGUGCCAGCAGCCGCGGUAAUACGUAGGGCGCGAGCGUUGUCCGGAAUUAUUGGGCGUAAAGGGCUUGUAGGUGGCUGGUUGCGUCUGUCGUGAAAGCUCAUGGCUUAACUGUGGGUUUGCGGUGGGUACGGGCUGGCUUGAGUGCAGUAGGGGAGGCUGGAAUUCCUGGUGUUGCGGUGGAAUGCGCAGAUAUCAGGAGGAAUACCGGUGGCGAAGGCGGGUCUCUGGGCUGUUACUGACACUGAGGAGCGAAAGCAUGGGGAGCGAACAGG